RNAcentral lists this ribosomal RNA (433 nucleotides) under uncultured bacterium. RNAcentral's name for it is "partial 16S ribosomal RNA". It matches the Rfam family "Bacterial small subunit ribosomal RNA", at positions 29 to 507 of the family's 1533-position model. The record is from RNAcentral.
AGCGAACGCUGGCGGCAGGCCUAACACAUGCAAGUCGAACGAACUCUUCGGAGUUAGUGGCGGACGGGUGAGUAACACGUGGGAACGUGCCUUUAGGUUCGGAAUAACUCAGGGAAACUUGUGCUAAUACCGAAUGUGCCCUUCGGGGGAAAGAUUUAUCGCCUUUAGAGCGGCCCGCGUCUGAUUAGCUAGUUGGUGAGGUAAAGGCUCACCAAGGCGACGAUCAGUAGCUGGUCUGAGAGGAUGAUCAGCCACAUUGGGACUGAGACACGGCCCAAACUCCUACGGGAGGCAGCAGUGGGGAAUCUUGCGCAAUGGGCGAAAGCCUGACGCAGCCCUGCCGCGUGAAUGAUGAAGGUCUUAGGAUUGUAAAAUUCUUUCACCGGGGACGAUAAUGACGGUACCCGGAGAAGAAGCCCCGGCUAACUUCGUG